This 296-nucleotide unclassified non-coding RNA is filed under the name uncultured fungus. RNAcentral describes it as "partial contains small subunit ribosomal RNA, internal transcribed spacer 1, and 5.8S ribosomal RNA". The stretch from base 1 to 72 matches the Rfam family "Eukaryotic small subunit ribosomal RNA", at positions 1759 to 1831 of the family's 1831-position model. Lineage: Eukaryota; Fungi. The record is from RNAcentral.
UCAAACUUGGUCAUUUAGAGGAAGUAAAAGUCGUAACAAGGUUCCGUAGGUGAACCUGCGGAAGGAUCAUUACUGAGUGAGGGCCCUCCGGGUCCAACCUCCCACCCGUGUUUAUUCGUACCUUGUUGCUUCGGCAGGCCUGCCUCACGGCCGCCGGGGGGCUUCUGCCCCCGGGCCCGCGCCUGCCGGAGACAAUUCUGAACGCUGUCUGAAGAAUGCAGUCUGAGCGAUUAGCAAAAUUAGUUAAAACUUUCAACAACGGAUCUCUUGGUUCCGGCAUCGAUGAAGAACGCAGC